AAAGGAAAUCUUGACAGAAGUACCAAUAGCCAGUAUAAAUACAGAGAACAUUCACGUUCAACUGAUUACCGAGGAGAUGUAAAUUAAAAUAGCUGGCUGUAAUUUUCCAGAGAUGGGCUCAAGUGAUCCUCCCGCUUCAGACCCUCAGUGGCUGGUACUACAGAUGUGAACCAGCUGUACUUUCAGGUAAGAAUGGUGCUCCAUGAGUCAAGCGAUUACUUCAGCUCACAACUCAAUCACUUAAGGUUUUUUCCUCGAGAAAGUCAUCAUACUUUGAUAUGCAGCAUAACU
Molecule: long non-coding RNA, 291 nt
Organism: Pan troglodytes (chimpanzee)
Lineage: Eukaryota; Metazoa; Chordata; Mammalia; Primates; Hominidae
Exons: 3
Source: RefSeq, a predicted model, not a curated record